Molecule: ribosomal RNA, 512 nt
Filed under: uncultured bacterium
Lineage: Bacteria
Description: partial 16S ribosomal RNA
Rfam family: Bacterial small subunit ribosomal RNA
Source: RNAcentral
GACGAACGCUGGUGGCGUGCCUAAUACAUGCAAGUCGAGCGGACCAAUAGAAGCUUGCUUCUGUUGGUUAGCGGCGGACGGGUGAGUAACACGUGGGCAACCUGCCUGUAAGACUGGGAUAACUUCGGGAAACCGGAGCUAAUAACGGAUAAUUCAUCCCCUCGCAUGAGGGGAUGCCGAAAGUCGUUUUACGCUGACACUUACAGAUGGGCCCGCGGCGCAUUAGCUAGUUGGUGAGGUAAUGGCUCACCAAGGCGACGAUGCGUAGCCGACCUGAGAGGGUGAUCGGCCACAGUGGGACUGAGACACGGCCCAGACUCCUACGGGAGGCAGCAGUAGGGAAGCUUCCACAAUGGACGAAAGUCUGAUGGAGCAACGCCGCGUGAGCGAUGAAGGCCUUCGGGUCGUAAAGCUCUGUUGUUAGGGAAGAACAAGUAUCGGAGUAACUGCCGGUACCUUGACGGUACCUAACCAGAAAGCCACGGCUAACUACGUGCCAGCCGCCGCAGUAA